RNAcentral lists this ribosomal RNA (449 nucleotides) under uncultured bacterium. RNAcentral describes it as "partial 16S ribosomal RNA". It matches the Rfam family "Bacterial small subunit ribosomal RNA", at positions 29 to 523 of the family's 1533-position model. The record is from RNAcentral.
AGCGAACGCUGGCGGCAGGCCUAACACAUGCAAGUCGAACGAACUCUUCGGAGUUAGUGGCGGACGGGUGAGUAACACGUGGGAACGUGCCUUUAGGUUCGGAAUAACUCAGGGAAACUUGUGCUAAUACCGAAUGUGCCCUUCGGGGGAAAGAUUUAUCGCCUUUAGAGCGGCCCGCGUCUGAUUAGCUAGUUGGUGAGGUAAAGGCUCAGCAAGGCGACGAUCAGUAGCUGGUCUGAGAGGAUGAUCAGCCACAUUGGGACUGCGACACGUCCCAAACUCCUCCGGGAGGCAGCAGUGGGGAAUCUUGCGCAAUGGGCGAAAGCCUAACGCAGCCAUGCCGCGUGAAUGGUGAAGGUCUUAGGAUUGUAAAAUUCUUUCACCGGGGAAGAUAAUGACGGUACCCGGAGAAGAAGCCCCGGCUAACUUCGUGCCAGCAGCCGCCGUAA